UUAAUUGAAACCAAAAAGAGGUAUAUCACUGUUAAUGAUAUUAAUGAAUACAAUAUUCCAAUUAAA
Molecule: transfer RNA, 66 nt
Filed under: Celaenorrhinus victor
Lineage: Eukaryota; Metazoa; Arthropoda; Insecta; Lepidoptera; Hesperiidae
Description: tRNA-Asn
Source: RNAcentral